AUCGCUUCUCGGCCUUUUGGCUAAGAUCAAGUGUAGUAUCUGUUCUUAUCAGUUUAAUAUCUGAUACGUGCCCUACCCGGGCACAGUACCAAACUUGAAAACCUGUAUUUAAUGUAGUCUAGACUGUAU
Molecule: small nuclear RNA, 129 nt
Filed under: Sinocyclocheilus rhinocerous
Lineage: Eukaryota; Metazoa; Chordata; Actinopteri; Cypriniformes; Cyprinidae
Description: U2 spliceosomal RNA (ENSSRHG00000042652.1)
Rfam family: U2 spliceosomal RNA (bases 1-107)
About the family: U2 is a small nuclear RNA (snRNA) component of the spliceosome (involved in pre-mRNA splicing). Complementary binding between U2 snRNA (in an area lying towards the 5' end but 3' to hairpin I) and the branchpoint sequence (BPS) of the intron results the bulging out of an unpaired adenosine, on the BPS, which initiates a nucleophilic attack at the intronic 5' splice site, thus starting the first of two transesterification reactions that mediate splicing.
Source: RNAcentral